This 235-nucleotide ribosomal RNA is filed under the name uncultured bacterium. Its description in RNAcentral is "partial 16S ribosomal RNA". It matches the Rfam family "Bacterial small subunit ribosomal RNA", at positions 118 to 351 of the family's 1533-position model. The record is from RNAcentral.
UGAGUAACCUGCCCUUAACUCUGGGAUAAGCCUGGGAAACUGGGUCUAAUACCGGAUAUGACUCCUCAUCGCAUGGUGGGGGGUGGAAAGCUUUUUUGUGGUUUUUGGAUGGACUCGCGGCCUAUCAGCUUGUUGGUGAGGUAAUGGCUCACCAAGGCGACGACGGGUAGCCGGCCUGAGAGGGUGACCGGCCACACUGGGACUGAGACACGGCCCAGACUCCUACGGGAGGCAG